Pocillopora verrucosa is the source of this 285-nucleotide non-coding RNA. The record is from RefSeq and is a predicted model, not a curated record. NCBI's taxonomy places the organism in Eukaryota, Metazoa, Cnidaria, Anthozoa, Scleractinia, Pocilloporidae.
CGGCUGGCGUGUGAAGGAACUAAAUGAGUGCAAGACUCUGUUUGCUUAGCGAGUGUAUUAUGAUAUAAUAUGAAGCUUACAUGUUGCGCAUUACAACCUCACCUCUCAAUAAACGAUGAUCAUUGUAAUGUUUGCCUGGAUAGCACAAUACUGGGGAUCUGAGAGUACAUGAAAAUGGGAACCAGUGGAGAAGGAACCAAAUUUCAGUGCAAGCUUGUAGGAAUAACAGGUGUUGCUAGCCCAGAGGGUGGGGAGAUGUGUGCUGAGGCUUUAAAGAAAUUAAAG